This 316-nucleotide unclassified non-coding RNA is filed under the name uncultured bacterium. RNAcentral's name for it is "contains 16S-23S intergenic spacer region". The record is from RNAcentral.
GCGAGGAGUUCAAAACACCAAGCCGCGCCAAGCCCAAAUGACCAGCAUCCCGUUGUUCUUCGAGCCGAAUCGAGGCCAAACUUCGGACAGCAUCCAGUUCCUGGCCCACACCUCGCGAGGCGCCGCCGGGUUCUCGGCUUCGCGGAUUACCCUGCCUUCCGGUGUGCGCAUGAGCCUCGCCGGCGCGUCGAAAUCCACCAGCGUUUUGGCUGAAGAGCCCACAUCCGGGCACAGCAGCCAUUUCAUGGGCCGGAACCGACAGGACUGGCGCACUGGGAUACAGCAUUUCCGGCGUCUUCGCUAUCGCUCGAUCUAC